Molecule: ribosomal RNA, 245 nt
Filed under: uncultured bacterium
Lineage: Bacteria
Description: partial 16S ribosomal RNA
Rfam family: Bacterial small subunit ribosomal RNA
Source: RNAcentral
UACGGAGGUGGCAAGCGUUACUCGGAUUGAUUGGGUGUAAAGGGUAUGUAGGUGGUGAAUUAAGUCGAAUGUGAAAUCCCUUGGCUUAACCAAGGAACUGCAUUCGAAACUGAUUCGCUUGAGCGACGGAGAGGAAAGCGGAAUUCCCGGUGUAACAGUGAAAUGUGUAGAUAUCGGGAGGAACACCAGUGGCGAAGGCGGCUUUCUGGACGUUUGCUGACACUGAAAUACGAGAGCUAGGGGAG